Nicotiana tabacum (common tobacco) is the source of this 786-nucleotide long non-coding RNA. RefSeq lists it as uncharacterized. NCBI's taxonomy places the organism in Eukaryota, Viridiplantae, Streptophyta, Magnoliopsida, Solanales, Solanaceae. The record is from RefSeq and is a predicted model, not a curated record.
GCAAGAAAAUGCACUCACACAAUUAGCUCCUCCUCCUCUUAUUCUUCUUACCAUAAUCAUAAGAUAGUUGAAAGUGUGUUAACAUGGCUAAGAUGUGCCUAUCUCACAAGCUUGCUUUCUCUUUUGGCCUUCUCCUUGUAGUAUUGGCUGUUCAUUCAAACAUUCAAGUGAUGGCUAUGCGAGUCCUACCUUUAGAGAUACAGAUGAUUGAGCAGUUUCUAAUCCCAGAUCUUACCUCAUUAAAAGGCAGAUGUUUCUCCCCUUGCAAAUCUAGUGCAGAAUGCAAUGUACAGAAAAUGUGUUCACAAUGUCGAAAGAGUAUGCGUUGGAGGUCGUCUAAGAGUUGCAUGGCUCCAAAUUAACCCAAUUUGAAUCAAUCUCAUAUGAUAUUUUCUAUGUUCCUUUUUUGCCUACUUGAUCCUUCUGAGAGCUGAGUUUCUAUCGGAAAUAAUCUUUCUAUCGAUACAAGGCAGGAUUAAGGUCUGCGUACACACUACCCUUCUCAGACCCCAUUUGUAGAAAAACACUGGGUAUGUUUUUCUUGUUAUUGUUGUUGUUACUUGCACCUUCUAAGAGCCGAUGGUCUAUCGAAAAUAGUCUUUCUAUCUGCACAAGAUAGGAAUAAAGUCUGUGUAUACACUACCCUCCCCAGGCUUCACUUGUAAAAAUAAAUUGUGUAUGUUGUUGUUGUUACUUGCUCCUUCUAAGCUUUGUGUCACUUGUAAAAUUAAAGUUACUAUCUUUAUUCUGAAUAAAUAAAUGUGUGUUAAGGUGUUACCAUAUUAA